RNAcentral lists this transfer RNA (77 nucleotides) under Opitutia bacterium. Its description in RNAcentral is "tRNA-Asp". It matches the Rfam family "tRNA". Rfam says of the family: Transfer RNA (tRNA) molecules are approximately 80 nucleotides in length. Their secondary structure includes four short double-helical elements and three loops (D, anti-codon, and T loops). Further hydrogen bonds mediate the characteristic L-shaped molecular structure. tRNAs have two regions of fundamental functional importance: the anti-codon, which is responsible for specific mRNA codon recognition, and the 3' end, to which the tRNAs corresponding amino acid is attached (by aminoacyl-tRNA synthetases). tRNAs cope with the degeneracy of the genetic code in two manners: having more than one tRNA (with a specific anti-codon) for a particular amino acid; and 'wobble' base-pairing, i.e. permitting non-standard base-pairing at the 3rd anti-codon position. RNAcentral also lists the same sequence under 2 other names. The record is from RNAcentral. Lineage: Bacteria; Pseudomonadati; Verrucomicrobiota; Opitutia.
GGGGGUGUAGCUCAAUUGGUUAGAGCGCUGGCCUGUCACGCCAGAGGUCGCGGGUUCGAGUCCCGUCACUCCCGCCA